AGCUGUCACCUCCUCCAGAAAGCCUUCCUUGACCAACCGUCGUCCACAGUAAGUAGUACCCGUGCUCCUAAAGCUUCCCUGGGAUUAAUAUUGCACUGAUCACAUUGGCUUCAGUGAUGUUUUUCCUUCCACUUCCUGCUCUAGUGUAGAACUCACAGGGCGGGGACAAGGUUUUCAUAUACCCAGCACGGGGAACAGCAGCCCUUGGUUAACAUGUACUGAAUGAAUCACAGGAAGUGGUGGCUGGAGCUCAUUCACACUAGCAUGUAAAUGACUAAUAUACAUCCUUUCCUGAAAACAACCCUUGAUGGAGGAGAGGAAGGGGAAAUCCCAGAGCCCCGGGCAAGUGAAGCCAGGGAAGCAGCCCCACCUGGAGAGGGACAGGUCCAGGGAGUUGGGAGGCCCAGCUUCAACCCUGGUUAUGAAGAGGACACAGCUGCCCCUCGUUCAAAUGCCAGGAGAAGGCUCCCAGCCAGCAUUCCAGACAGAACACUCCAGGUGCUCCAUGACACACGGACAGAUCCUUGCAGAGAAGUGAGACGUUCUAGAGCCUGGACAAUUCCAUAAAUGGCCGUGAGGACUUUGCUUUAAGGACUUUGCUCUCGGAAGCUGGAUUUUCCCUCUAUGAGUUAGAAUUCCAUGACAACAUGGCACCCAAAACACAGAUGCUGUUUACCUCUGUUCAUACAGUCAAGCUCAUUAAAAUUCAUUAAAGCCACCGACUAUCAUUCUACUGAAAAUCACUUAUAACAAAUCAGACUUACAACAGAUUUUGAUGUUGCAUAGUAUUCAAUUUGAUCAAAUCAGUCAAGACGUUGAAAGCUCCCAUAAGGGGAAGAAGGAGGGCGAUGUAGAAAUAUAAAGGGGUAAAAUGACGGUACAAUGGCCAGAGUGCAGAGUGCGCAGAAACCGGAAUUCACCUUCCUGAAGGCCAGCUCAGGGCAGGAUUCUAACACACACACACACACACACACACACACACACGCUCAGGCAUUCAUGCACAUGUACACACGCAUGCACACGUGUGCACAUGCAUGCACAUAAGCACACAGUGGCUUCACAUUGCUGCUCGAUGACUCCUUUCUGACAUGAAAACGCUACUUUGCACUUUUCACCCUCUCCCCAACUAUGAAUUCCUGCAUACUUAUCCCCAGAAAUUAGAAUUCACAUGGCAGAUAAUAGAAUUUCUGCCAAUUAGUUCACUUAUCUAACAAGGUAGGCUCUUUCUCUACUGGAAAUGGUCAUCUGUAGGUUAUCAUAACAUUUCACAUGGGCUUCUUCCGGGGAACGGGAAGGAACAAGGACAGUCAGCAAUUGUCUCCAGAGCAUCGCCUUGCUGGUUUAAAUGCUCCAGGAAGUGUUUGCCGUGGGACCAACGGCAGGUAGGGGCACAGGUGGAGUGUGCUGGGGACAGGAGGGGCUGCCUGGGAAGGUAAAAAGGAAUGGGAAGAAAGAGAGGGACUAUCCCAGCGAGGAGCAGUGUGAUCUUGAUACCUUCAAUGCCUGUGAGCCAAGCAUUCAGGAUUUAUUUCUACCCCAAUUAUCCUAAGAGAGGCAAUGGCCUCAUUCAGUGCCAUGGAGAAAUGGGCUCUAGCUCCUAGAUGACAAUGGCGGCCAGCCUCUGCGGAUGGACAGGAGAGCUGCCAGAGAGAGCCAGGGCCAUCCUAGUGGCGGUUGCGAGCCUCACCCCAACCCGCUCCAAACCCACCCCGGAGGCAGGUGCUGCCAACGCCACGUAAAGCACCUG
RNAcentral lists this long non-coding RNA (1747 nucleotides) under Homo sapiens (human). RNAcentral describes it as "HSALNT0131374". Lineage: Eukaryota; Metazoa; Chordata; Mammalia; Primates; Hominidae. The record is from RNAcentral.